GUCAACAGCUCCAGGCAAAACCGCACAUCCGGGUGGAGGUAGGAGGUGCGGGUGCUGCCUAAAUGGCAGGUCUGUUAGUCUCAGCCCUGAACCACCUCACCUGGCAGCAGGCCCACCAGACAGCACGGCAUAGAGGACUACUGCCCGCCACACCAUCGAAUCUCACAAAAUCCAACCAGGCCAGGGCAGAGGCAGCCAAGGAAGGAGCUGGGUUCCCUGACAUUGGUGUGGGGGCAAAGUGCAUCUCGGGUCUCUCCUUGGCCCAUUCUGUCCCCGGGGCUGUAGCUGCCUGGGUCAUUGGGAGUUGUCACAGCCUCCUGCUCCAACCCUACCAGACACAAGUCCCAGCCACUCAGAGGGAUGCAAGCACAGGUCUGUGUGACACCAUGGGGCAGAGUCCAGUUGUGGGAGCACGUCCAGCCUCCAUCAGAAUGGCCUGGGGUUCCAACACUUCCCAGCUGUAGAGACUGAGCUGGGUGGUGGGCAGCCGCCAGCUUUCCUACCACACAGACCUCAUAAGCCGGAAGGGGGAGGUUGAGGCUCACAGGGGAUGGAGACCGUUGGAAGCAGGCAUCUUUGACCUCUCUGUCCCUGGCAGCAAAAUCUGGGCCUCAUGUCUCAACAGGUAUGGGGCUCCCCCGCCCCCAUCCCCAGGCUCCCAAUUCCAAGCUAUGGCCUCCAGGCUGCAAGAGCCGGAGAACAAGGUGCCCACGUCGAUGUUCCUCUCAUCCUAGGAAAGAUGGAGGUGGAGUGGGCUGACCCAGUUCCCCUGCUCAGCCACAUCUGUCUUGUUUACCUUCCUUCAUCAAGGAGACAGGCACUGGGUGUGUGUGUGUGGGGGGGGGGGAGCACUAAGGGGAGGAGGUGACAGAGGUCAGCAUUAGCAACUCCAGCACGUGGCUGUGAAGCACAGAAGGCCACUGGCUCAAGGUAGCCAGGGGGUUAGAACCUGUCCACACUCCUGACUUGUGGGCUUUGACCCCAGCCCUGAGUUCUGGUACCAACCAGCACUGUAUUGCACAUCCAGAGAAUUUGAAGAUGGACAUCUCGUCCCAGCAGCAUCCCUACAUAGGGGAAAGGAGAAGGGGAAAGCCAUGAAGCCGGCCUGCAGUCUCCUAGUGGGCCCUGCGGCCCAGGGCUUUAGUGUGUGUGGUUUUGAGAGACUGUCACAGGGACCUGGGACUUGCCAGGGUCUCCUGACUGGCUGGCUGGAGACCCCAGCACAGACCACUGUGUUCUGUGCCUUGCACAAGUGCUGGGCAUCAAACUCAGAUCCCCCUACUUGCGCAGCAAGCACUUACUGAUGGUACUUCUUCCCCAUGGCCCUCCAGGAAGGUGAGCAUGUGGGGUCUGCAGACUCUGCACCCAGCCAGGCAGGUCCAGCAGGCUCACCCCAGGGAAUCUCUGUUGCUCUGGGCUGCCCCCUGCAGGCUCAGCCAACCCUGCCAUGCUAGUGAGCCAUCUCUGUGUCCUGCUUGACCUUGGUACCCAUAGCUCCCUGCCAGACUGUGUCCAUCCGUGCAGCGGUAUCUGGGAAGAGGCAAAGCAGGCCAGAGGCUCAGCCCUGCCAGGGCCUGGAGAGAAGAACGGUGGCAGAGGGGACCCACGGGGACAGGAGAAAAGGAGACACGUGCUUGUUACACACUCAUCUGCAGGCUUUACCCCCAAGGCUCUGGGCCCCCACCACAGCUACACUGUGACCCAACUUCCCCCUUCAGAGAGUCCCAGAGGCCCCCAUAACCGCCCCCACAGACUUGGGCUUCUCUCCUCCAUCCUUGAGGUGGCCUCGAGGGCCCCAGUGGAUCCUUCUCAUUGGCUCAGCCCAAGAGGCAGCCGGCCAGGAGAGGCGUGGGGGUGUGGGAAAGGCCCUCCCCAUCUGUAGACUGGACACUGGAAUGUGCUGAGCAGAGCCAGGCCUAAUCCCCAUUCAUCCCCUUGAGGCCACUGAGCCACUGCAGCGGGGCAGCCCUGGGAUGGAAGGGGACUGGAUCAGGGACACAUUCCCAGUAUGGUAGACAGUUGAUGGAUGGUCAGACUGAGGUCAUAAGGUCAGCCAGGGUUCUAUAGGAGGACACACUUUCUUCACUCUUUGAGACCGAUGGGGUCAGUGUGAGGCUCUGGAGUAUGGGAGUUGGGGGGGGCCCUGGUUACACCCUCCCUACAAAGAUGGGUGAUGUAUCCCCAGAUGUGCACAAGACCCUGAAUAGUGCUGGUGGCAGAGCUAGGUAGACCUGGGGAAGUAUGUUGAAAGGACCAGUGUAUUCACUGAUGAACCCAGGGCAAGAGCGCUGCCACUAAGCCAUGUACCCAGCCCCCUCUCCAGCAGGGUUAGCCUGAGGGGGGAGGAAAAAUGGGGCACAGAGGUCCAUGUGACCCAGACAAGGCCCCUAGAGGUGGGGCCCCCAUGCCCCGCCCCAGCGGGCUCUGCUAUAUCUCCAGCUGCCUCAUCCCCACACCCAGUGGCUGAGGGCAAUGACACUGCAGUUCGAAGCCUUCUGUGCAGGGGGUCUGGCCCCUGGCUGGAGCCUGACUGUCCAGGGACAUGCAGAUGCUGGAGAAGAGAAGUUCGAGAUCAACUUCUUAACAGACGCCGGAGACAUCGCCUUCCACGUCAAACCUCGAUUCUCCAGCGCCACGGUGGUGGGCAAUGCUUUCCAGGGAGGACGGUGGGGGCAGGAGGAGGUGUCCAGCAUAUUCCCACUGACUCUGGGAGAGCCCUUUGAGAUGGAGGUGAGUGCAGACGCAGAACACUUCCACAUUUAUGCCCAGGAACAAAAGGUGCUCCAGUUCCCACAUCGGCACCGACCGCUGGCCACCAUCACCAGAGUGCGAGUGCUCAGUGAGCAUCGGCUGGCCCAGGUGGAGCUGGCCAAGCGGAGCCUGAGCUGGGGGUAAGGUGCCCGCCAUGUCCUCACACACUAACCCAGGUGGAAUUGGCCAAGUGGAGCCUGAGCUGAGGCGAUGGGGGCUACUGAGCAGACUGGACCACAGCCUACAAGAGCCAGCCUUGACCAUCCUGCAUCCCCUUCUACCUGGAGCCACGGGACACACACUACACACGUUAUAGAUGCUGGGAAGCUGAGGCUCUGUGUGAACCCCGAGCUUUACCUUCAAUAAAAUAUGAGCAGGUUACAGUC
This is an RNA transcript of Mus musculus (house mouse), 3137 nucleotides long. It is a transcript of the gene named galectin-related inter-fiber protein, with no coding region annotated. The transcript is spliced from 5 exons. The record is from RefSeq and is marked validated. NCBI's taxonomy places the organism in Eukaryota, Metazoa, Chordata, Mammalia, Rodentia, Muridae.